GACGACCGCUGGCGGCGUGCUUAACACAUGCAAGUCGAACGGAAAGGCCCUGCUUUUGUGGGGUGCUCGAGUGGCGAACGGGUGAGUAACACGUGAGUAACCUGCCCUUGACUUUGGGAUAACUUCAGGAAACUGGGGCUAAUACCGGAUAGGAGCUCCUGCUGCAUGGUGGGGGUUGGAAAGUUUCGGCGGUUGGGGAUGGACUCGCGGCUUAUCAGCUUGUUGGUGGGGUAGUGGCUUACCAAGGCUUUGACGGGUAGCCGGCCUGAGAGGGUGACCGGCCACAUUGGGACUGAGAUACGGCCCAGACUCCUACGGGAGGCAGCAGUGGGGAAUAUUGCACAAUGGGCGGACGCCUGAUGCAGCAACGCCGCGUGCGGGAUGACGGCCUUCGGGUUGUAAACCGCUUUCGCCUGUGACGAAGCGCGAGUGACGGUAAUGGGUAAAGAAGCACCGGCUAACUACGUG
RNAcentral lists this ribosomal RNA (468 nucleotides) under uncultured bacterium. Its description in RNAcentral is "partial 16S ribosomal RNA". It matches the Rfam family "Bacterial small subunit ribosomal RNA", at positions 28 to 507 of the family's 1533-position model. The record is from RNAcentral.